RNAcentral lists this ribosomal RNA (465 nucleotides) under uncultured bacterium. RNAcentral describes it as "bacterial SSU rRNA". It matches the Rfam family "Bacterial small subunit ribosomal RNA", at positions 338 to 795 of the family's 1533-position model. The record is from RNAcentral.
CCUACGGGAGGCUGCAGUAGGGAAUCUUCCGCAAUGGACGAAAGUCUGACGGAGCAACACCGCGUGAGCGAAGAAGGUCUUCGGAUCGUAAAGCUCUGUUGUUAGGGAAGAACAAGUACGGGAGGAAAUGACCGUAACUUGACGGUACCUAACGAGGAAGCCACGGCUAACUACGUGCCAGCAGCCGCGGUAAUACGUAGGUGGCAAGCGUUGUCCGGAAUUAUUGGGCUUAAAGUGGGCGCAGGACGUCAUUUAAGUAAGAAGUGCAAUCUUGCGGCUCAACCGCAAGCGGUCAUUGGUAACUGGAAAACUUGCAUGAAGAAGAGGAAAGCGCAAUUCCACUUUUAACUGUUAAAUGCGAAGAGAUGAAGAAGAACACCAGUGGCGCAGGCGUCUUUCUGGAGUGUAACUGACGCUGAGGCGAGAAGGCGUGGAGAGCAAAAAAGAUUAGAUACAUCUUUAGUC